CACAUGCAAGUCGAGGGGAACGACAUCGAAAGCUUGCUUUUGAUGGGCGUCGACCGGCGCACGGGUGAGUAACGCGUAUCCAACCUGCCCAUCACUUGGGGAUAACCUUGCGAAAGUAAGACUAAUACCCAAUGAUAUCUCUAGAAGACAUCUGAAAGAGAUUAAAGAUUUAUCGGUGAUGGAUGGGGAUGCGUCUGAUUAGCUUGUUGGCGGGGUAACGGCCCACCAAGGCUACGAUCAGUAGGGGUUCUGAGAGGAAGGUCCCCCACAUUGGAACUGAGACACGGUCCAAACUCCUACGGGAGGCAGCAGUGAGGAAUAUUGGUCAAUGGACGAGAGUCUGAACCAGCCAAGUAGCGUGCAGGAUGACGGCCCUAUGGGUUGUAAACUGCUUUUAUAAGGGAAUAAAGUGAGCCUCGUGAGGCUUUUUGCAUGUACCUUAUGAAUAAGGACCGGCUAAUUCCGUGCCAGCAGCCGCGGUAAUACGGAAGGUCCGGGCGUUAUCCGGAUUUAUUGGGUUUAAAGGGAGCGUAGGCCGGAGAUUAAGCGUGUUGUGAAAUGUAGAUGCUCAACAUCUGCACUGCAGCGCGAACUGGUUUCCUUGAGUACGCACAAAGUGGGCGGAAUUCGUGGUGUAGCGGUGAAAUGCUUAGAUAUCACGAAGAACUCCGAUUGCGAAGGCAGCUCACUGGAGCGCAACUGACGCUGAAGCUCGAAAGUGCGGGUAUCGAACAGGAUUAGAUACCCUGGUAGUCCGCACGGUAAACGAUGGAUGCCCGCUGUUGGUCUGAAUAGGUCAGCGGCCAAGCGAAAGCAUUAAGCAUCCCACCUGGGGAGUACGCCGGCAACGGUGAAACUCAAAGGAAUUGACGGGGGCCCGCACAAGCGGAGGAACAUGUGGUUUAAUUCGAUGAUACGCGAGGAACCUUACCCGGG
Molecule: ribosomal RNA, 936 nt
Filed under: uncultured bacterium
Lineage: Bacteria
Description: bacterial SSU rRNA
Rfam family: Bacterial small subunit ribosomal RNA
Source: RNAcentral